This 484-nucleotide ribosomal RNA is filed under the name uncultured bacterium. RNAcentral describes it as "partial 16S ribosomal RNA". It matches the Rfam family "Bacterial small subunit ribosomal RNA", at positions 30 to 507 of the family's 1533-position model. The record is from RNAcentral.
AUUGAACGCUGGCGGCAGGCCUAACACAUGCAAGUCGAGCGGAUGAAGGGAGCUUGCUCCUGGAUUCAGCGGCGGACGGGUGAGUAAUGCCUAGGAAUCUGCCUGGUAGUGGGGGAUAACGUCCGGAAACGGGCGCUAAUACCGCAUACGUCCUGAGGGAGAAAGUGGGGGAUCUUCGGACCUCACGCCAUCAGAUGAGCCUAGGUCGGAUUAGCUAGUUGGUGGGGUAAAGGCCUACCAAGGCGACGAUCCGUAACUGGUCUGAGAGGAUGAUCAGUCACACUGGAACUGAGACACGGUCCAGACCCCUACGGGAGGCAGCAGUGGGGGAUAUUGGACAAUGGGCGAAAGCCUGAUCCAGCCAUGCCGCGUGUGUGAAGAAGGUCUUCGGAUUGUAAAGCACUUUAAGUUGGGAGGAAGGGCAGUAAGUUAAUACCUUGCUGUUUUGACGUUACCAACAGAAUAAGCACCGGCUAACUUCGUG